AACGAACGCUGGCGGCGUGGAUAAGACAUGCAAGUCGAACGAGAGAAUUGCUAGCUUGCUAAUAAUUCUCUAGUGGCGCACGGGUGAGUAACACGUGAGUAACCUACCCCCGAGAGCGGGAUAGCCCUGGGAAACUGGGAUUAAUACCGCAUAGUAUCGAAAGAUUAAAGCAGCAAUGCGCUUGGGGAUGGGCUCGCGGCCUAUUAGUUAGUUGGUGAGGUAACGGCUCACCAAGGCGAUGACGGGUAGCCGGUCUGAGAGGAUGUCCGGCCACACUGGAACUGAGACACGGUCCAGACACCUACGGGUGGCAGCAGUCGAGAAUCAUUCACAAUGGGGGAAACCCUGAUGGUGUGACGCCGCGUGGGGGAAUGAAGGUCUUCGGAUUGUAAACCCCUGUCAUGUGGGAGCAAAUUAAAAAGAUAGUACCACAAGAGGAAGAGACGGCUAACACUGUGCCAGCAGCCGCGGUAAUACAGAGGUCUCAAGCGUUGUUCGGAAUCACUGGGCGUAAAGCGUGCGUAGGCUGUUUCGUAAGUCGUGUGUGAAAGGCGCGGGCUCAACCCGCGGACGGCACAUGAUACUGCGAGACUAGAGUAAUGGAGGGGGAACCGGAAUUCUCGGUGUAGCAGUGAAAUGCGUAGAUAUCGAGAGGAACACUCGUGGCGAAGGCGGGUUCCUGGACAUUAACUGACGCUGAGGCACGAAGGCCAGGGGAGCGAAAGGGAUUAGAUACCCCUGUAGUCCUGGCAGUAAACGGUGCACGCUUGGUGUGCGGGGAAUCGACCCCCUGCGUGCCGGAGCUAACGCGUUAAGCGUGCCGCCUGGGGAGUACGGUCGCAAGAUUAAAACUCAAAGAAAUUGACGGGGACCCGCACAAGCGGUGGAGUAUGUGGCUUAAUUCGAUGCAACGCGAAGAACCUUACCUGGGCUUGACAUGUAAUGAACAACAUGUGAAAGCAUGCGACUCUUCGGAGGCGUUACACAGGUGCUGCAUGGCCGUCGUCAGCUCGUGUCGUGAGAUGUUUGGUUAAGUCCAGCAACGAGCGCAACCCCUGUUGCCAGUUACCAGCACGUGAAGGUGGGGACUCUGGCGAGACUGCCCAGAUCAACUGGGAGGAAGGUGGGGACGACGUCAGGUCAGUAUGGCCCUUAUGCCCAGGGCUGCACACGUACUACAAUGCCCAGUACAGAGGGGGCCGAAGCCGCGAGGCGGAGGAAAUCCUGAAAACUGGGCCCAGUUCGGACUGUAGGCUGCAACCCGCCUACACGAAGCCGGAAUCGCUAGUAAUGGCGCAUCAGCUACGGCGCCGUGAAUACGUUCCCGGGUCU
Molecule: ribosomal RNA, 1332 nt
Filed under: uncultured bacterium
Lineage: Bacteria
Description: bacterial SSU rRNA
Rfam family: Bacterial small subunit ribosomal RNA
Source: RNAcentral